GACGAACGCUGGCGGCGUGCUUAACACAUGCAAGUCGAACGGAAAGGCCCUGCUUUUGUGGGGUGCUCGAGUGGCGAACGGGUGAGUAACACGUGAGUAACCUGCCCUUGACUUUGGGAUAACUUCAGGAAACUGGGGCUAAUACCGGAUAGGAUCUCCUGCUGCAUGGUGGGGGUUGGAAAGUUUCGGCGGUUGGGGAUGGACUCGCGGCUUAUCAGCUUGUUGGUGGGGUAGUGGCUUACCAAGGCUUUGACGGGUAGCCGGCCUGAGAGGGUGGACGGCCACAUUGGGACUGAGAUACGGCCCAGACUCCUACGGGAGGCAGCAGUGGGGAAUAUUGCACAAUGGGCGGAAGCCUGAUGCAGAAACGCCGCGGGCGGGAUGACGGCCUUCGGGUUGUAAACCGCUGUCGCCUGUGACGAAGCGUGAGUGACGGUAAUGGGUAAAGAAGCACCGGCUAACUACGUG
Molecule: ribosomal RNA, 468 nt
Filed under: uncultured bacterium
Lineage: Bacteria
Description: partial 16S ribosomal RNA
Rfam family: Bacterial small subunit ribosomal RNA
Source: RNAcentral